UCUCCGCCCGCAUACUCCCUCCCCUCCGCCCACUUCUGGUGGCCGCCACACCUCCCACUCCGUAUUUGCCUCCAUCUCCCCUCGUCUCCUCCAUCAGCCCUCCUCAGAUCCAGCUUCUGCCGCUCACGUUCAGCACACACCCCCACCCUCCCCUCCAGCGCGGCGCCAGGAUGGGAUGGCGACGACCGAGAUGCGGGGCGGGGCGGGGCGGCGGUGGUGAAACCGGUUCUCGCGGCGUGGCCUGACGGGGCCGGCGCGGCGGGCGGAGGCUACCGCCGCCGCAAUCCCAGGAGGCGGGCACGUCGACCGCGCGGCACGGGAUUAGGUCGACGCCGGCGACGAGCGCCUCGUGUUGCUCCCAGGCCUCCCAUCAUGAAUGCGAGCAGAUAGGCAUAGCCAUCUUCCUCAGCUCAGAUCCGUGUUCUAACGUGGUGAACCGGUGUCUCUACUGCAACCCGACGACGAGCGGCGGCCGUAGUGCUCGGCGAGGCGUAGAAGGUCCGGUGCUGCUGCCUGUCAUGGUGUUCGCCGAUGAGUGGCUUCAGCAACAUCCAUCCCCCGUCCAACAUUGUUUGCAUUAGCAGGUGUAACCUCGCGGAUCCAACUUGACUGGAUCCGUGGCCACCGGAUCCAUCGCUGUCGCUGGGAUGUGGAGAGGCAACUGGUGUUCUUUUUCCUUUCUCGAUUCAAUUUCUGCUAGCGAUUCAUGCAUGUGCACCUUCCCUUUUGAUGUUAUUGCGCCUGAUGCUUCUGAUUUGACAGGUGGGCAGGUAACUCGCAAAUCUCAGCAUCAAGGGCGGAACCGUGCCUGGCCCUCGAGCCCUCCACUUCCGCCUUGAUGGUUGAAGGUUGCGAUUAGACUUGGAGGUGCACCUCACGAGCUUUAUCUGCAGGACGCCAUCCAUGCCGAGACGUCUUCUACUGUUAUGUGAUCCUUGGUUUCAGUCUCUUAAUGCUGAUGACUCCUGAAUUGAAUGAUCAACAAAGGUGGCAUCUGAGGCAAUAGAUAUAGGAAGAUCUACCUUUUAUCUAGAUUCUAGUUUAUCAAUCACCUUUGGGUCAAGAUACAGGACAAGCAAGCAAUGUUUUUCAGGUCUUGGAUUUAUUGGAAGAUUCCAGCUGAAUACUUCUUAAUCUUUUUUUGGGUGGACCAAGAGAGACGAACAAGAAGCAAGCUGAGCUCAAUGCAAAACUUGAUGCUGGAUUAAAACUUGAUCUGUUGUUUGAUGUGUGAUGUGAUGUGAUGCCGGAAAACUUGAGGUGUAUGAUGUAACAACAUUCUAAUUUUGAAACUGAUUCUGUGGGCUAUUUUUUUAUAUGGCUCGUGUAUAAAGCUUAAUCUUGUUUCUUGGUAA
Molecule: long non-coding RNA, 1355 nt
Organism: Panicum virgatum (switchgrass)
Lineage: Eukaryota; Viridiplantae; Streptophyta; Magnoliopsida; Poales; Poaceae
Exons: 5
Source: RefSeq, a predicted model, not a curated record